Non-coding RNA from Siniperca chuatsi (mandarin fish), 684 nucleotides. The record is from the annotation of a RefSeq genome assembly. NCBI's taxonomy places the organism in Eukaryota, Metazoa, Chordata, Actinopteri, Centrarchiformes, Sinipercidae.
UUUCCAGGCAUGUUUUCACUCUGCAGAUAUAAUAACAGUCAACAGACUCUUCUAUUGGCUCCAGUUAGACCAACAUUGAUGCUUCAUGUGUUUGAUUCUAUGCAAACUCAGUGACCUUCCUUGUUACUCAGCUAUAAAAACUUCCCAUCAGGCUGUCAGUGGAGUUCACAGCACGUCAGUUUCAACAUCAACCAUGUUUUCUGUAGCUCUGCUGCUGCUGUUGGCAGCUGGAUGUGUGAAGUGUGAACAGCUGACACAGCCAGCCUCUGUGACUGUGCAGCCAGGUCAACGUCUGACCAUCACCUGUCAGGUCUCUUAUUCUGUUAGCAGCUACUGGACAGCUUGGAUCAGACAGCCUGCAGGGAAAGGACUGGAGUGGAUUGGAAUGGGAGCUGGCUCUACCACAUACUACAAAGAUUCACUAAAGAACAAGUUCAGUAUCGACUUAGACUCUUCCAGCAACACAGUGACUCUAAACGGACAGAAUGUGCAGCCUGAAGACACUGCUGUGUAUUACUGUGCCAGAGAGCCACAAUAACACAAACCAUCAGUAGACCUGAACAAAAACCCCUCAGUGCCUGAACACUUGUAACAUGAAGCCACCAGAGGAGGAGCCCUCAGACCACUAAUGGUUUCAACACCAGUUCAUUGAGAAAAACAGUAAUUUGAAUAAACAGUAUAUAU